GAUGAACGCUGGCGGCGUGCUUAACACAUGCAAGUCGAGCGAGUGAGUUCUUCGGAACGAUCUAGCGGCGGACGGGUGAGUAACACGUGGGCAACCUGCCUCAUAGAGGGGAAUAGCCUCCCGAAAGGGAGAUUAAUACCGCAUAAAAUUAUCGAGUGGCAUCACACGGUAAUCAAAGGAGUAAUCCGCUAUGAGAUGGGCCCGCGGCGCAUUAGCUAGUUGGUGAGGUAACGGCUCACCAAGGCGACGAUGCGUAGCCGACCUGAGAGGGUGAUCGGCCACAUUGGGACUGAGACACGGCCCAGACUCCUACGGGAGGCAGCAGUGGGGAAUAUUGCACAAUGGGGGAAACCCUGAUGCAGCAACGCCGCGUGAGUGAUGAAGGUCUUCGGAUCGAAAAGCUCUGUCUUUGGGGACGAUAAUGACGGUACCCAAGGAGGAAGCCACGGCUAACUACGUGCCAGCCGCCGCCGUAA
This 476-nucleotide ribosomal RNA is filed under the name uncultured bacterium. RNAcentral describes it as "partial 16S ribosomal RNA". It matches the Rfam family "Bacterial small subunit ribosomal RNA", at positions 28 to 523 of the family's 1533-position model. The record is from RNAcentral.